RNAcentral lists this ribosomal RNA (195 nucleotides) under uncultured Pseudomonas sp. RNAcentral's name for it is "partial 16S ribosomal RNA". It matches the Rfam family "Bacterial small subunit ribosomal RNA", at positions 337 to 524 of the family's 1533-position model. The record is from RNAcentral. Lineage: Bacteria; Pseudomonadati; Pseudomonadota; Gammaproteobacteria; Pseudomonadales; Pseudomonadaceae.
UCCUACGGGAGGCAGCAGUAGGGAAUAUUGGACAAUGGGCGAAAGCCUGAUCCAGCCAUGCCGCGUGUGUGAAGAAGGUCUUCGGAUUGUAAAGCACUUUAAGUUGGGAGGAAGGGCAGUAAGUUAAUACCUUGCUGUUUUGACGUUACCGACAGAAUAAGCACCGGCUAACUUCGUGCCNGCAGCCGCGGUAAU